ACAGGCGUGUGUGUGUGUGUGUGUGUGUGUGUGUGUGUGUGUGUGUGCCCGGGCGCACGCGUGCAUGCUCGCAGACAGA
RNAcentral lists this microRNA precursor (79 nucleotides) under Procavia capensis (Cape rock hyrax). Its description in RNAcentral is "miRNA (ENSPCAG00000019389.1)". Lineage: Eukaryota; Metazoa; Chordata; Mammalia; Hyracoidea; Procaviidae. The record is from RNAcentral.